RNAcentral lists this ribosomal RNA (502 nucleotides) under uncultured Massilia sp. RNAcentral describes it as "partial 16S ribosomal RNA". The record is from RNAcentral. Lineage: Bacteria; Pseudomonadati; Pseudomonadota; Betaproteobacteria; Burkholderiales; Oxalobacteraceae.
CACGUAGUUAGCCGGUGCUUAUUCUUCAGGUACCGUCAUUAGCCCAAGGUAUUAACCCAGGCCGUUUCUUCCCUGACAAAAGAGCUUUACAACCCGAAGGCCUUCUUCACUCACGCGGCAUUGCUGGAUCAGGCUUGCGCCCAUUGUCCAAAAUUCCCCACUGCUGCCUCCCGUAGGAGUCUGGGCCGUGUCUCAGUCCCAGUGUGGCUGGUCGUCCUCUCAGACCAGCUACUGAUCGUCGCCUUGGUGAGCCUUUACCUCACCAACUAGCUAAUCAGAUAUCGGCCGCUCCAAAAGCAUGAGGCCCGAAGGUCCCCCACUUUCAUCCGUAGAUCGUAUGCGGUAUUAGCGUAACUUUCGCUACGUUAUCCCCCACUUCUGGGUACGUUCCGAUAUAUUACUCACCCGUUCGCCACUCGCCACCAGGUUGCCCCGUGCUGCCGUUCGACUUGCAUGUGUAAAGCAUGCCGCCAGCGUUCAAUCUGAGCCAGGAUCAAACUCU